Molecule: long non-coding RNA, 1323 nt
Organism: Sycon ciliatum
Lineage: Eukaryota; Metazoa; Porifera; Calcarea; Leucosolenida; Sycettidae
Exons: 3
Source: RefSeq, a predicted model, not a curated record
CCACAGCGCAGUACUGCAUGCAUGCAGUAUCAUAUCAGCCGAUAUACUAAUUUUCGAUUUUCCGUACACAGAAUGUACGUCGACGUCGGCGGGUUUGAUUUGUUUGACGUCCUCAUCCUCAAUGAUCAACCUCACACAUGACGUGCAUACCGCACCAGUGCAAUUUUAUGUAUGGAGGAGAUGAUGCCGUUGUGAAAAGACUGUGUUCAUAUCACGCCAAACCAGCCGUUCAAAGCUGUUCGAGGAACGUGAAGUGUGGGUGGACGCUCGAGCUUUGAGCUUUUGUGCUGUGUGUAGUUGAACCGUCGUAACCUCGCUGGGUCCUUCUCUAAGCAUUGCUCUUAGUCCUAGUUGCUGUUCACCUUCUCUUUGAUUUUGUAAGCGGCGCUUCCUCUGCCGUACUAAUUUGAACCUAAGCGGUACUGAUUGGAAGUUUAUUCAAACGUCCUCCUCUGUAUUGGCUUUAUUUGCCAAUUUCUCGCCUCCAACAGUUGGUGUUGUGAAUAUACGAUUUCAUCAUGGCAGAAGCGGAUGGGGCAAAGAGCAAGAAGAUUGGACUUAGUAUCCAAAAGAAGCUGUUUGGGUUUCAUCUUGUUUUGUUCCACAGUAUAUAUCGACUAGACAGUGCCCUCCAGAAGUUAAACUGAUAAUCACUCUAGGCAAUAGUCAACUACGAAUGUUUCUUGCAUGGCAGGAUGUGUGCGUGCGUAUGUGUGUGUGUGUGUGUUUAGUGUCAUCGCUCCAUGCGCUUGGGCCGUUUUGCAAACAUUACUCCUGAUGGUUUUAUUGUACAGGAAAAGGGGCUUGAAAUUUGAUUUAAUAUUUUAUGGUGGAUUUAUCGUUCGCGCUAUGUCCGGUACUGGAAUACGGCAUCAUUUGACUGGUCUUUUCUCAUCCUGUGUCAUUAUAAUUAUAGCCGGUACAUGUACUUCGAAGUAUAUCGCUACAUGAUCCAAUGAUGUUUUACGAAUAUCUACUGUACAUUUACUGCAUGUAUCACUAUCACAGGUCAAGUACGCAGGGGGGAGGGUUGACUGCCAGUGCAGCCUGCUGCAUAGUUCAUACAUUUGGAGACACUCUUUGCCAUUGGCAUUGGUGUAUGGUGUCAUGCUCUUUGCUGCUAGUCGGUGCUUCAAGCACUUGCCAACAGUCAACACUUGUAACAAGUGACAUGUACUGGUGGAUAAGCACUGUCUACUGCAUCAUGAGUGCUGAUGCCUGGCAGUGAUGUAGCUGCAGUUGGAACACAGCUAUGUUUUAUGCUCAUUAGCUCUCAGGCUACACACUAUUAUUAUUAAUAUAGUAGAAGUAUAACUACUGUAA